UCCCGACGAACGAUCCACGGGAGCAGGAAGCGGGGGACCCAACGGUCUCCCAGGGAACACCGAUUCCCAGGAGGCACCCGGAUCGCCGCCCCGGCGACGGUCCUUGGGGUGAAGCCGAAUCGCCCACCGGCGAGGAGGCCGGGCUACCUCUUCAGCCCGAACCCGACAGCUGACCUCGUAGGCGCGUACGGAGAGGAAUC
RNAcentral lists this small RNA (200 nucleotides) under Rhodococcus ruber. RNAcentral describes it as "ydaO-yuaA". It matches the Rfam family "c-di-AMP riboswitch aptamer (ydaO/yuaA leader)", at positions 19 to 134 of the family's 134-position model. From Rfam's summary of the family: This family represents a conserved RNA structure found upstream of the ydaO and yuaA genes in Bacillus subtilis and related genes in other bacteria. The ydaO/yuaA element is thought to act as a genetic "off" switch for the ydaO and yuaA genes in its native state. Lineage: Bacteria; Bacillati; Actinomycetota; Actinomycetes; Mycobacteriales; Nocardiaceae. The record is from RNAcentral.